AUACCUUCCUCGGCCUUUUGGCUAAGAUCAAGUGUAGUAUCUGUUCUUGUCAGUUUAACAUCUGAUACGUGGGACAUUGUCCCACAUGAUAUUAAAUUAAUUUUUUUUUCUUAGGGGAGGUCCACGACAAUGGCUUGCCAUUGGGGUCCUCAGGCGUCGCCCAUGCGUUGCACUAUUGCACAGGCCUGGCGCGCCCCUU
RNAcentral lists this small nuclear RNA (199 nucleotides) under Macleaya cordata. RNAcentral describes it as "U2 spliceosomal RNA". It matches the Rfam family "U2 spliceosomal RNA". From Rfam's summary of the family: U2 is a small nuclear RNA (snRNA) component of the spliceosome (involved in pre-mRNA splicing). Complementary binding between U2 snRNA (in an area lying towards the 5' end but 3' to hairpin I) and the branchpoint sequence (BPS) of the intron results the bulging out of an unpaired adenosine, on the BPS, which initiates a nucleophilic attack at the intronic 5' splice site, thus starting the first of two transesterification reactions that mediate splicing. The record is from Rfam by way of RNAcentral. Lineage: Eukaryota; Viridiplantae; Streptophyta; Magnoliopsida; Ranunculales; Papaveraceae.